GUCGAGAAUCUUUCACAAUGGGGGCAACCCUGAUGGAGCGACGCCGCGUGGAGGAUAAGGUCUUCGGAUUGUAAACUCCUGUCAUGCGUGAACAAGGUUGCUUGGUUAAUACCUGGUCAAAUUGAUGGUAACGCAAGAGGAAGAGACGGCUAACUCUGUGCCAGCAGCCGCGGUAAUACAGAGGUCUCAAGCGUUGUUCGGAAUCACUGGGCGUAAAGGGUGCGUAGGUGGCGUGGUAAGUCAGAUGUGAAAGCCCGGGGCUCAACCUCGGAACUGCAUCCGAUACUGCCAUGCUAGAGUACUGGAGAGGUGACUAGAAUUCUCGGUGUAGCAGUGAAAUGCGUAGAUAUCGAGAGGAAUACCAAAGGCGUAGGCAGGUCACUGGACAGUUACUGACACUGAGGCACGAAGGCCAGGGGAGCGAACGGGAUUAGAAACCCCUGUAGUCC
This 449-nucleotide ribosomal RNA is filed under the name uncultured bacterium. RNAcentral describes it as "partial 16S ribosomal RNA". It matches the Rfam family "Bacterial small subunit ribosomal RNA", at positions 354 to 796 of the family's 1533-position model. The record is from RNAcentral.